RNAcentral lists this ribosomal RNA (253 nucleotides) under uncultured bacterium. RNAcentral's name for it is "partial 16S ribosomal RNA". It matches the Rfam family "Bacterial small subunit ribosomal RNA", at positions 524 to 776 of the family's 1533-position model. The record is from RNAcentral.
UACGAAGGGGGCUAGCGUUGCUCGGAAUUACUGGGCGUAAAGGGAGCGUAGGCGGAUAGUUUAGUCAGAGGUGAAAGCCCAGGGCUCAACCCUUGAAUUGCCUUUGAUACUGGCUAUCUUGAGUAUGGGAGAGGUUAGCGGAACUCCGAGUGUAGAGGUGAAAUUCGUAGAUAUUCGGAAGAACACCAGUGGCGAAGGCGGCUAACUGGCCCAUUACUGACGCUGAGGCUCGAAAGCGUGGGGAGCAAACAGG